UGGGGAAUUUUGGACAAUGGGCGAAAGCCUGAUCCAGCAAUGCCGCGUGUGUGAAGAAGGCCUUCGGGUUGUAAAGCACUUUUGUCCGGAAAGAAAUCCUCUGGGUUAAUACCUCGGGGGGAUGACGGUACCGGAAGAAUAAGCACCGGCUAACUACGUGCCAGCAGCCGCGGUAAUACGUAGGGUGCAAGCGUUAAUCGGAAUUACUGGGCGUAAAGCGUGCGCAGGCGGUUUUGUAAGACGGAUGUGAAAUCCCCGGGCUUAACCUGGGAACUGCAUUCGUGACUGCAAGGCUAGAGUAUGGCAGAAGGGGGUAGAAUUCCACGUGUAGCAGUGAAAUGCGUAGAGAUGUGGAGGAAUACCGAUGGCGAAGGCAGCCCCCUGGGCCAAUACUGACGCUCAUGCACGAAAGCGUGGGGAGCAAACAGGAUUAGAUACCCUGGUAGUCCACGCCCUAAACGAUGUCAACUAGUUGUUGGGGAUUCAUUUCCUUAGUAACGUAGCUAACGCGUGAAGUUGACCGCCUGGGGAGUACGGUCGCAAGAUU
RNAcentral lists this ribosomal RNA (547 nucleotides) under uncultured bacterium. RNAcentral describes it as "partial 16S ribosomal RNA". It matches the Rfam family "Bacterial small subunit ribosomal RNA", at positions 355 to 895 of the family's 1533-position model. The record is from RNAcentral.